GCCCCAGUGGCUUAAUGGAAUAGCCGCCGUUAUGAAUGUACUGUUUCACGUUCCUUUCCUAACGAGGUACCAGGUUCGAUUCCUGGCUGGGACG
Paramarasmius palmivorus is the source of this 94-nucleotide non-coding RNA. The record is from the annotation of a GenBank genome assembly. NCBI's taxonomy places the organism in Eukaryota, Fungi, Basidiomycota, Agaricomycetes, Agaricales, Marasmiaceae.